UGGGGAAUUUUGGACAAUGGGCGAAAGCCUGAUCCAGCAAUGCCGCGUGUGUGAAGAAGGCCUUCGGGUUGUAAAGCACUUUUUGUCCGGAAAGAAAAUCCUUGGCUCUAAUACAGUCGGGGGAUGACGGUACCGGAAGAAUAAGCACCGGCUAACUGCGUGCCAGCAGCCGCGGUAAUACGUAGGGUGCAAGCGUUAAUCGGAAUUACUGGGCGUAAAGCGUGCGCAGGCGGUUUGCUAAGACCGAUGUGAAAUCCCCGGGCUCAACCUGGGAACUGCAUUGGUGACUGGCAGGCUAUGAGUAUGGCAGAGGGGGGUUAGAAUUCCACGUGUAGCAGUGAAAUGCGUAGAGAUGUGGAGGAAUACCGAUGGCGAAGGCAGCCCCCUGGGCCAAUACUGACGCUCAUGCACGAAAAGCGGGGGGAGCCAAACAGGAUUAGAUACCCUGGUAGUCCACGCCCUAAACGAUGUCAAC
Molecule: ribosomal RNA, 475 nt
Filed under: uncultured bacterium
Lineage: Bacteria
Description: partial 16S ribosomal RNA
Rfam family: Bacterial small subunit ribosomal RNA
Source: RNAcentral